RNAcentral lists this ribosomal RNA (115 nucleotides) under Helianthus annuus (common sunflower). Lineage: Eukaryota; Viridiplantae; Streptophyta; Magnoliopsida; Asterales; Asteraceae. The record is from RNAcentral.
AUUCGAGGUGUUACACUAAUGCACCGGAUCCCAUCAGAACUCCGCAGUUAAGCGUGCUUGGGCGAGAGUAGUACUAGGAUGGGUGACCCCCUGGGUCGUCCUCGUGUUGCAACCC